CCAGAUUGCUACUAGUUCUUCCAUGCCCCUACUAUGUUGCCGUUGCUUUCCUUUUAUAUCUCAAGUCAUAGUGUGGUUUCAAUCUGACUCUCAUUCACAAUUUGGCGGGUAUAGGCCCAAAUUGAUAUGCAUGCUCCUCCAAGCCCAAUUCUUGAGUAGAGUUCGCUGCUGAUUUUAAUGGUGUUUAUUGGUGGAGAUAAUUAACGUCAAAGCUUCGGGCUGUGAUGA
Molecule: long non-coding RNA, 228 nt
Filed under: Capsicum annuum
Lineage: Eukaryota; Viridiplantae; Streptophyta; Magnoliopsida; Solanales; Solanaceae
Description: long non-coding RNA (CANN_LNC008872)
Source: RNAcentral